This 1552-nucleotide ribosomal RNA is filed under the name Staphylococcus aureus. RNAcentral describes it as "16S ribosomal RNA". It matches the Rfam family "Bacterial small subunit ribosomal RNA". Lineage: Bacteria; Bacillati; Bacillota; Bacilli; Caryophanales; Staphylococcaceae. The record is from RNAcentral.
UUUAUGGAGAGUUUGAUCCUGGCUCAGGAUGAACGCUGGCGGCGUGCCUAAUACAUGCAAGUCGAGCGAACGGACGAGAAGCUUGCUUCUCUGAUGUUAGCGGCGGACGGGUGAGUAACACGUGGAUAACCUACCUAUAAGACUGGGAUAACUUCGGGAAACCGGAGCUAAUACCGGAUAAUAUUUUGAACCGCAUGGUUCAAAAGUGAAAGACGGUCUUGCUGUCACUUAUAGAUGGAUCCGCGCUGCAUUAGCUAGUUGGUAAGGUAACGGCUUACCAAGGCAACGAUGCAUAGCCGACCUGAGAGGGUGAUCGGCCACACUGGAACUGAGACACGGUCCAGACUCCUACGGGAGGCAGCAGUAGGGAAUCUUCCGCAAUGGGCGAAAGCCUGACGGAGCAACGCCGCGUGAGUGAUGAAGGUCUUCGGAUCGUAAAACUCUGUUAUUAGGGAAGAACAUAUGUGUAAGUAACUGUGCACAUCUUGACGGUACCUAAUCAGAAAGCCACGGCUAACUACGUGCCAGCAGCCGCGGUAAUACGUAGGUGGCAAGCGUUAUCCGGAAUUAUUGGGCGUAAAGCGCGCGUAGGCGGUUUUUUAAGUCUGAUGUGAAAGCCCACGGCUCAACCGUGGAGGGUCAUUGGAAACUGGAAAACUUGAGUGCAGAAGAGGAAAGUGGAAUUCCAUGUGUAGCGGUGAAAUGCGCAGAGAUAUGGAGGAACACCAGUGGCGAAGGCGACUUUCUGGUCUGUAACUGACGCUGAUGUGCGAAAGCGUGGGGAUCAAACAGGAUUAGAUACCCUGGUAGUCCACGCCGUAAACGAUGAGUGCUAAGUGUUAGGGGGUUUCCGCCCCUUAGUGCUGCAGCUAACGCAUUAAGCACUCCGCCUGGGGAGUACGACCGCAAGGUUGAAACUCAAAGGAAUUGACGGGGACCCGCACAAGCGGUGGAGCAUGUGGUUUAAUUCGAAGCAACGCGAAGAACCUUACCAAAUCUUGACAUCCUUUGACAACUCUAGAGAUAGAGCCUUCCCCUUCGGGGGACAAAGUGACAGGUGGUGCAUGGUUGUCGUCAGCUCGUGUCGUGAGAUGUUGGGUUAAGUCCCGCAACGAGCGCAACCCUUAAGCUUAGUUGCCAUCAUUAAGUUGGGCACUCUAAGUUGACUGCCGGUGACAAACCGGAGGAAGGUGGGGAUGACGUCAAAUCAUCAUGCCCCUUAUGAUUUGGGCUACACACGUGCUACAAUGGACAAUACAAAGGGCAGCGAAACCGCGAGGUCAAGCAAAUCCCAUAAAGUUGUUCUCAGUUCGGAUUGUAGUCUGCAACUCGACUACAUGAAGCUGGAAUCGCUAGUAAUCGUAGAUCAGCAUGCUACGGUGAAUACGUUCCCGGGUCUUGUACACACCGCCCGUCACACCACGAGAGUUUGUAACACCCGAAGCCGGUGGAGUAACCUUUUAGGAGCUAGCCGUCGAAGAUGGGACAAAUGAUUGGGGUGAAGUCGUAACAAGGUAGCCGUAUCGGAAGGUGCGGCUGGAUCACCUCCUUU